GGCCGCGUGGCAAAAUGGUUACUGCGUUGCUUUCCGGUUAAGCCGUUGGCUAGUUCGUUAGGCAGAGAUUGUGCGUUCGAUCCGCACCGUGGUCG
This is a non-coding RNA of Roridomyces roridus, 95 nucleotides long. The record is from the annotation of a GenBank genome assembly. Lineage: Eukaryota; Fungi; Basidiomycota; Agaricomycetes; Agaricales; Mycenaceae.